Molecule: ribosomal RNA, 674 nt
Filed under: Escherichia coli
Lineage: Bacteria; Pseudomonadati; Pseudomonadota; Gammaproteobacteria; Enterobacterales; Enterobacteriaceae
Description: partial 23S ribosomal RNA
Rfam family: Bacterial large subunit ribosomal RNA
Source: RNAcentral
GGGUAGUUUGACUGGGGCGGUCUCCUCCUAAAGAGUAACGGAGGAGCACGAAGGUUGGCUAAUCCUGGUCGGACAUCAGGAGGUUAGUGCAAUGGCAUAAGCCAGCUUGACUGCGAGCGUGACGGCGCGAGCAGGUGCGAAAGCAGGUCAUAGUGAUCCGGUGGUUCUGAAUGGAAGGGCCAUCGCUCAACGGAUAAAAGGUACUCCGGGGAUAACAGGCUGAUACCGCCCAAGAGUUCAUAUCGACGGCGGUGUUUGGCACCUCGAUGUCGGCUCAUCACAUCCUGGGGCUGAAGUAGGUCCCAAGGGUAUGGCUGUUCGCCAUUUAAAGUGGUACGCGAGCUGGGUUUAGAACGUCGUGAGACAGUUCGGUCCCUAUCUGCCGUGGGCGCUGGAGAACUGAGGGGGGCUGCUCCUAGUACGAGAGGACCGGAGUGGACGCAUCACUGGUGUUCGGGUUGUCAUGCCAAUGGCACUGCCCGGUAGCUAAAUGCGGAAGAGAUAAGUGCUGAAAGCAUCUAAGCACGAAACUUGCCCCGAGAUGAGUUCUCCCUGACUCCUUGAGGGUCCUGAAGGAACGUUGAAGACGACGACGUUGAUAGGCCGGGUGUGUAAGCGCAGCGAUGCGUUGAGCUAACCGGUACUAAUGAACCGUGAGGCUUAACCUUACAACG